GUAACCUACGGGAGGCAGCAGUCGGGAAUAUUGCGCAAUGGAGGAAACUCUGACGCAGUGACGCCGCGUAUAGGAAGAAGGUUUUCGGAUUGUAAACUAUUGUCAUCAGGGAAGAUAAAAGACAGUACCUGAGGAGGAAGCUCCGGCUAACUAUGUGCCAGCAGCCGCGGUAAUACGUAGGGAGCAAGCGUUAUCCGGAUUUACUGGGUGUAAAGGGAGCGUAGACGGCUGCGCAAGUCUGAAGUGAAAGCCCGGGGCUCAACCCCGGGACUGCUUUGGAAACUGUGUAGCUAGAGUGCUGGAGG
This 305-nucleotide ribosomal RNA is filed under the name uncultured bacterium. RNAcentral's name for it is "bacterial SSU rRNA". It matches the Rfam family "Bacterial small subunit ribosomal RNA", at positions 334 to 655 of the family's 1533-position model. The record is from RNAcentral.